This 5241-nucleotide long non-coding RNA is filed under the name Homo sapiens (human). RNAcentral's name for it is "HSALNT0036769". The record is from RNAcentral. Lineage: Eukaryota; Metazoa; Chordata; Mammalia; Primates; Hominidae.
CUCCCGCCUCCGCCUCCUCCCGCCUCCGCCUCCUCCUCCGCCUCCUCCUCCUCCUCCUCCUCCUCCGCCUCCUCCUCCUCCUCCUCCGCUUCUGGCUUCUCCUCCUUCUUCUCAGGCUCAUCACAACAACUUUUACACCUCCUCCUCCUCCUUUUCUUCUUCUUCUUCUUCUUUUUUUUUUUUUAUGGCGUCUCGCCCAGCCUGGAGUGCAGAGGCAGUCUUGGCUCACUGCAACCUCCACCUCCGGGGUUCAACUGAUUUUCCCGCCUCAGCCUGCUGAGUAGCUGGGAUUACAGGCACCCUCAUCAAGUCCGGCUAAUUUUUGUAUUUUUAGUAGAGACAGGGUUUCACCAUGUUGGCUAGGCUGGUCUUGACCUCCUGACCUCGGGUGAUCCUCCUGCCUCGGCCUCCCAAAAUGCUGGGAUUACAGGCGUGAGCCACCACGCACGGCUUCUGUUGUUCGUUGAAAUCAUCAUUUUUCUAAUGUCCUCAUUCUCUGCUGGCUAGUUUAAGGGCUGAUUCAAAAAAUAAAUUUUCACACUGUGAAAUACGCAAGAUGAAGAGAACAUUUAUAAAAUAUCCAUACUGUGCAUCUCUGAAUAAUCUUUUCUUCACAUCAGCGGCAGUACAAAUUAGGUGGAGUUUUAAAAGAUACUUCAGCAACUUACAGAUUACAGCAUGUUAUGUAUCUUCAAGAUAUUUUGCUUCAUUGGUGUGCUUGAACAUUUCUGGAUUCCUAGACUCCCAGAAAGCAGUGAGAGGAUAUUACGUUGCAGAAUUUGGUCAGAAUAUGAAGUUUGGAAGACCCUAUAUUCCUGCAGAUCCUUGGAUUGAGGUUAAUUCGAGAGCAAGCCGUGAGUGAGAAAUCUGCCAUCAAAACCAAGUCACUGGCCCUACCACAUUUGCUACAACUCUGAUAUUCCACAUUUUACAAAGGUAAAGGAAUUGAGCCUUUAUGAUUCUCAUCCAUAUGAGGUUUAUCCAAAAUAAGGGAAUCCAGGAGCUGAGCAAUUAGCUGUGCACCUUAUCUUACUUGCUUUCUUACUUUCUACUUUCCCAAGGUAUCAACACCUUUGUCUACUUUCUACCUUUAUAAUUUAUUCUUUUGACUCUUGAAGACAUAUGGUCUUCAAUAAUCUUUAUUUAAAAAAAAAAUAUCCAGGCACUUUGAGGGUCUGAGGUGGGCAGAUUGUCUGAGGUCAGGAGUUUGAGAUCAGCCUGGCCAACAUGGCAAAAUACUAUCUCUAUUAAAAAUAAAGAAAAUUAGCUGGGCAUGGCGGCGCAAGCCUGUAAUCCCAGCUACUCGGGAACCUGAGGCAGGAGAAUCGCUUGAGUCUGGAAGGCGGAGGUUGCAGUGAGCGGAGAUCACGCCACUGCACUCCAGCCUGGGCAACAGAGUGAAAUUUUGCCUCAAUAAAACCCCACAAAAAAAAGAAACAAAAAGCCAGGCUGGGCAGUGGUGCAAACCGGUUUUCAUGGCUACUUGAGAGGCUGAGUCCUGGGCAAGAAGAUCCCUUGAGCCAGGAGUUCAAGUCCAGCCUGGGCAACAUGGCAAGUCCCUGUCUCUUAAAAAACAACAACAACAAAAAAUAACCAUGAGCCUUAAAUGCCCAACACAAUACUUGCAUAUUAAUAUUCUUCAGUUCUCCAUAUUCUAGACAUAGUGCUAGAUAUUGUUCAUGACUUAGCUGUCACAAAUAAUCAAAGACAGAAUUUGAGGAAGGAUGGAGGAGGUUAUAGGAGAGGCAAAAAUGUCCUUAAGAAAAGAGGAACAAGUGCUUCAAGACAAUUUUGCAUAGCACAGACACAGCACUUAGUAGUCCCUAUACCUCCCGUUUUGGCUUUUUCAAACCCAAAUUCCCUACAAAAUCCAGAGGAUCAACAAAGGCGCUUGUCUCAUCAUCUCCCUUCUAUGCUCAGUUGACUGCAGGAGUCCUCAUUGCCUGCAGUGUCUGCCCCACAGUGGGUUCUGAAAGACAGUAAUAGUCUCAUGAAAUGCCGUGGAAUUAAAAGAUUCAGUGAUCCAAAAACUAUGGGGGAACACUGAAAGCUGUAUCUCUCUCUUAGAGAUUUACAAUACAUGCUAGUAUUUUAAGGACUCUGGAAAAUCCUGGUAAAAAGGACUCUGUAUAAAAUGUGUUCAGCUGAGUUUCUUAAGGUGACUAUGGAGCCGUUGUAUUAAGGCCCAACCAGGAAGCACAAUUUGGGAAAUCCUGACCUUUAGGUGGAAGGGCACAUGCAUUAGCAUGGCCGUCAAAGCCCCCCACUCCACACUAGCCUCCCUCAUGCCUCUGCUCCCCAGCUUUGUACCUUGCUCUUCAGCAAGACUGAAUUUGCUAUCCUCUGACCACACACGCAGCUGGGUUCCACUGCCAACAUUCUUGCAAGCUGCCUUUUCUACCAUGAGUGCUCUGCCCCAUGCCAUGGGCCUGCCCCUCCUACUUACAGGCUUACUUCAGCUGGUUUAGGUGUUCUGUGGCCCUUCCUGAGAAGCUCUUGUGAGACUUCUUGUGUGUGAAUACUGCCUCUGCCAUUCACUCAGUGUGACCUUGGGCGAGUCACUUAACAUCUUUGCCUCUCAGCAUUAUCCACACAGUGAGGGUAUAAACAGUACCUACCUCAUGGGGUUAUGGAGAGGACUGACUUCAUCAAUACAUAUAGCGAGCUUAGAGCCAGGCUCCACACAUGGUUAAGUACUCAUAGGAUGUCAUGAAUGCUGUGGUCCCCUGUGCAUGUCUUUACCAUUGCACACUGUUGUAUUAUCCUUAUCUCCUUAUGCAUCUAUAUUCCCCAUCCAAUUAUAUUCUACUUGAACAUUAGGGCUGUGUACUAUUUAUCUUUUUUUUUGAUCUUUGGUGUCUAGCACAUAGUAGGCAAUCAAUGAAAUCCAAUAAUGACUUUAUCUAAUAAAAAUUGAUCAAACUUAAUGAAAUAUGUUAAACCUAUGGUCUGGGUAAACUUGGAAUAUUUUAUAGUGCUAGAAAAUCUCAGCUACGGCCACUGAGGUGAGCUAUCUGUUUAUAAUUUGCUUAUAGUAAUACCAAUACCAAAGCACAUAUUCAGUCCACAACCAUCUGUUUCAACAUGUUAGUGCACAUAUGAGGAAGCUAAUGUUGCCUUCAGAAAUUGCUAGGGGAGAUAAAAAAAAAAGUAUGAGACAAUUUCUCUGGUCUCUUUCAUCUAUAAAAGUCUGUGGUCCUAUGAUUGAUGAGCCAGCACAGAGCAGAUUAGAAAACUGAAGAACAGUCAGAGUCAAUUUGUAGAUGCCCUUCAAUUUCGUGAUAAGACAAUAGCAGUGAUUAUUGUCUCUUGCUUAUUUGUUCCUUAAUUGGAAGUAAUACAUCGUAAAAUAAAAAGCACAAAUAAUAAAAUCCUUAUUUUAGUUCCUUAUAUUUCUCUUGGCUACAAAUAUUUCUUUUAAUUAAAAAAUAUUAUGCUAAAUUAUUUUUCAGUUGGUUAAUCAUUAGAAUUUAGCAAGUAAUUUUGGUCUACCUUAGUAACGUUUGGAAAUUUGAAGGUGAGAUUGUCUUUAAAUAAAUUAUUUUUGGUUACAAAAUUAAUUGCUGUGUAGAAGUUUGAAAACAAUGCAGUCUUUUGGGGCAGUUUUCUGACUUUUCUGUACUUGAUUUUUUUUCUGACCUUCCAUUAAUAAACUAUUUUAUCAUAAUUUAUGUUCUUAAUGUCAAUAUAUUUAACACAUUUCCCAAAAUAAAUGAAUAUAAGUAUAUAAUGUUAAUUAUUGAUAAGUAUUUAUCAAAAGACAUACUAGGUUUGACCAAAACAUCUAAGUGGACAACACCUAAAUUAAUGAUUUGUUUCCUUAAAAUCAUUUCUGGCUAUCUCUCAAAUGACCAGUGAAGUAACUUUUCUACAAAACCCUACUUGAAAGUUAUUUCUUUUUCUAAAUUGUUUCCAUAGACGAAGCCACUAGGGUAUCAUUUAGUAUGCUAAAAGUCAUGUGCUAUAUUCUAAAUAUUGCCCCAAUGAUCUGAAAGAGUUCAUAUUUGUCUCUCAAAAUGCCCCCUAUCUUUACAUGGAAAGAAGGAAAUACGAUAGCCUUUGACUUUAUCUACCUGUCCAUAACAUUAUACGUAUGGUAAGUAAUCGAUGAUCCUUUAAUAACUAAUUUUUUAAAAGAAUUAAAACCAAAUGAUUUGGCUUUAAAAAUCAUGGUAGCAUCAAUUUUUAUGUAAUAAAUGAAAACUACCUAGAUUGCUAUGCCAUGGUUUGAAUGAAUUUUAAUUAAAAUAGCUUAAUUGUAUGUGUCUGACACUAGAUAGCAAGAAUUAUUUCUUUUUCACAAUGCAGAUAUGGAUAUAUAAAAUUUUAAUGUGCUACAUCAGUGCUGUAGUUUGAAUUAAUAUCCAAAUGUCUAGCUAGAUUAAAGCAAUGUUUUAAUUGUAUCACAAAUAUUAAUUAACAUAAUUCUCAUAACCGCACUAUUGUUGCCCCAUGUUCUAGAUAAGGAAAUGGAGGAAUAGAUUGUUUAAAUAACUUAAAAAGAAAGUUAGUGAUAGAAAUACAGAAUACAAAGAACUGAGGGCAGAGUUGAUGUAUAAACCAUGAUUUUCCAAUUCCAGAGCUUGUAUUCUUUCCUCUAAAUCGCACCACUUCCUUAGAAUGGCAUUUUGGUUGGGGUUUACAUUUGGAUUUGGCAUCACGUGGUCCCCAAAGCUAUCCAUACUAUGGGCUUUACCUCAUUUUCCUCUUACCUGCCGACUUUCUCUGUGAUUCAUAAUCACUCAGUUUCUUGCUUAUUAUCUAAUUGCCAAUUUUCUUUUUACUUUCCAAUUCGACUUUUGUUUAUUAGAUUUUUGUAAACUUGGAUAACAUUGUCCUUCAAUUUAAAAUAAAAUCACCUUAAUUUUUCUUUUUUCGAAAAAAGUUUACCUUGAUAAAUUGAGCUGUGAAUACUUUUUUACUAUCACAAUGUAUGUAGUCAAAAAUAUGCUGCCCAACACACUUUAUAGGAUCCAGUCCUUAUAGGUAAAGGCUUUUCCAGAACUGAGUUAAUGGAAUGGAAGAAGCACCGUUGUUUUUUCAUAUUUCCCUGUGUAACUGCCAUACUUUAUAAUUAACUUCUGGAAAGCCUGCACAAUAAAGUUGCAAUAUAUAUUUCCUCCGAUUUUAUGUAUAUUAAGAUUAAAUAUUAUACAUUAUGUGUCAAGAUUGUUUUCUGUUGUGUCUUUUCAUUUUAUUUUAGAUUUAAUUUCCUCAAACUUCAAUAUUAGAAUAUUCAAA